This 460-nucleotide ribosomal RNA is filed under the name uncultured bacterium. Its description in RNAcentral is "partial 16S ribosomal RNA". It matches the Rfam family "Bacterial small subunit ribosomal RNA", at positions 338 to 795 of the family's 1533-position model. The record is from RNAcentral.
CCUACGGGAGGCAGCAGUGAGGAAUAUUGGUCAAUGGACGAGAGUCUGAACCAGCCAAGUAGCGUGAAGGAUGACUGCCCUAUGGGUUGUAAACUUCCUUUAUAUGGGAAUAAAAUGUUCCACGUGUGGGAUUUUGUAUGUACCAUAUGAAUAAGGAUCGGCUAACUCCGUGCCAGCAGCCGCGGUAAUACGGAGGAUCCGAGCGUUAUCCGGAUUUAUUGGGUUUAAAGGGAGCGUAGGUGGAUUGUUAAGUCAGUUGUGAAAGUUUGCGGCUCAACCGUAAAAUUGCAGUUGAAACUGGCAGUCUUGAGUACAGUAGAGGUGGGCGGAAUGCGUGGUGUAGCGGUGAAAUGCUUAGAUAUCACGAAGAACUCCGAUUGCGAAGGCAGUUCACUGGACUGCAACUGACACUGAGGCUCGAAAGUGUGGGUAUCAAACAGGAUUAGAUACCCGGGUAGUC